This 856-nucleotide long non-coding RNA is filed under the name Zea mays. RNAcentral's name for it is "long non-coding RNA (ZMAY_LNC005397)". Lineage: Eukaryota; Viridiplantae; Streptophyta; Magnoliopsida; Poales; Poaceae. The record is from RNAcentral.
GAAGGACGACGAAAGUAACCUCCCGUCGAGCUGCACGCCGUCAAGAUCCCCCUCAUACCUCUCUCAUACCUCCUCCCCCUCUCGGCCUUCUUGCACCCUGCGAUGCUAAAGUACUCCGCCAGCUUGACGAGCAGUGGCAGGACGCCCUCUGACCCGAGUCGCACCCUGCAGGUGGCGCUCGACCCUAGGACCUGGCACACAGUCAUGGUGGCUUCUCUCGGACCACAAGUGGCAACGUCGUGGGGAAGCUGCACCAUCAUGAAGAGGCUGUCGAGCGCCUCCAACACACUUUGCUCCUCCCUGCGCAAAUGUGUUACCAUCUACUGAUCCUUAGAUUUGGGAUGUUUCUGUGUGUGCACAGCAGGACAUAUUUGUCUUGGUUUCCUUUCUUUUGGAUUUUGGAGGGCCAUUUCAAGGACGUGGAGGACAAGAAGCUCAGGGUUGUCUACGAGAGCCUCACCGACUCCGACCUGAAGCUACAAUAUUUCUAUGCUAGGAUGCAGAGGGUAUCUAUGUCAGAAGGUAUUGUGGUGUCCAACUCAUUAAUGUAAGCACUCGAGCAGUUCUUGGUUCCUCUCCUUCCAAGAGCUUGGUUAAGUGAUCUAUCUGUCUAUAAAGUGCAGGCUGCUAGCUACCAAUUGAAGAUUGUAUGCGCACAAACAUUAUUAUGUGCAAUCUUUGGAAGGGGUGGCACUCUGCUUAUUUUGGGAUUCUGCACUGGUCAAGGUUAUCCUUUUGUAUGUGUAGUAUAUUGGUUCAGAUUCCUCAUGACUCAAUUGAACUGUUGUGUAUAUGCCAUGGGAAAACAUAUACAAAUAACAAUACAUGUUUUCUUUACUAGGCCAGUGAGAUUGAG